This 618-nucleotide ribosomal RNA is filed under the name uncultured cyanobacterium. Its description in RNAcentral is "bacterial SSU rRNA". It matches the Rfam family "Bacterial small subunit ribosomal RNA", at positions 122 to 770 of the family's 1533-position model. Lineage: Bacteria; Bacillati; Cyanobacteriota. The record is from RNAcentral.
GAAUCUGCCUUUAGGUCCGGGACAACCACUGGAAACGGUGGCUAAUACCGGAUGUGCCGCAACGUGAAAGGGGAAACCCGCCUGAAGAUGAGCUCGCGUCUGAUUAGCUAGUUGGUGAGGUAAAGGCUCACCAAGGCGACGAUCAGUAGCUGGUCUGAGAGGAUGACCAGCCACACUGGGACUGAGACACGGCCCAGACUCCUACGGGAGGCAGCAGUGGGGAAUUUUCCGCAAUGGGCGAAAGCCUGACGGAGCAAGACCGCGUGAGGGAAGAAGGCUCUUGGGUCGUAAACCUCUUUUGUCAGGGAAGAACACAAUGACGGUACCUGACGAAUCAGCCUCGGCUAACUCCGUGCCAGCAGCCGCGGUAAUACGGAGGAGGCAAGCGUUAUCCGGAAUUAUUGGGCGUAAAGCGUCCGUAGGUGGCUAGUCAAGUCUGCGGUCAAAGACUGGGGCUUAACCCUGGAAAGGCCGUGGAAACUGACGAGCUAGAGUGCAGUAGGGGUAGAGGGAAUUCCCGGUGUAGCGGUGAAAUGCGUAGAGCUCGGGAAGAACAUCGGUGGCGAAAGCGCUCUACUGGACUGCAACUGACACUCAGGGACGAAAGCUAGGGGAGCG